RNAcentral lists this ribosomal RNA (496 nucleotides) under uncultured bacterium. RNAcentral describes it as "partial 16S ribosomal RNA". It matches the Rfam family "Bacterial small subunit ribosomal RNA", at positions 29 to 507 of the family's 1533-position model. The record is from RNAcentral.
AUGAACGCUGGCGGCGUGCCUAAUACAUGCAAGUCGAGCGAACAGAUGAGGAGCUUGCUCCUCUGACGUUAGCGGCGGACGGGUGAGUAACACGUGGAUAACCUACCUAUAAGACUGGGAUAACUUCGGGAAACCGGAGCUAAUACCGGAUAAUAUAUUGAACCGCAUGGUUCAAUAGUGAAAGACGGUUUUGCUGUCAAUUAUAGAUGGAUCCGCGCCGCAUUAGCUAGUUGGUAAGGUAACGGCUUACCAAGGCAACGAUGCGUAGCCGACCUGAGAGGGUGAUCGGCCACACUGGAACUGAGACACGGUCCAGACUCCUACGGGAGGCAGCAGUAGGGAAUCUUCCGCAAUGGGCGAAAGCCUGACGGAGCAACGCCGCGUGAGUGAUGAAGGUCUUCGGAUCGUAAAACUCUGUUAUUAGGGAAGAACAAAUGUGUAAGUAACUAUGCACGUCUUGACGGUACCUAAUCAGAAAGCCACGGCUAACUACGUG